Molecule: ribosomal RNA, 847 nt
Filed under: Alternariaster bidentis
Lineage: Eukaryota; Fungi; Ascomycota; Dothideomycetes; Pleosporales; Leptosphaeriaceae
Description: eukaryotic LSU rRNA
Rfam family: Eukaryotic large subunit ribosomal RNA
Source: RNAcentral
ACAGGGAUUGCCCUAGUAACGGCGAGUGAAGCGGCAACAGCUCAAAUUUGAAAUCUGGCUCUUUUAGGGUCCGAGUUGUAAUUUGCAGAGGGCGCUUUGGCAUUGGCAGCGGUCCAAGUUCCUUGGAACAGGACGUCACAGAGGGUGAGAAUCCCGUACGUGGUCGCUAGCCUUUACCGUGUAAAGCCUCUUCAACGAGUCGAGUUGUUUGGGAAUGCAGCUCUAAAUGGGAGGUAAAUUUCUUCUAAAGCUAAAUACUGGCCAGAGACCGAUAGCGCACAAGUAGAGUGAUCGAAAGAUGAAAAGCACUUUGGAAAGAGAGUCAAAUAGCACGUGAAAUUGUUGAAAGGGAAGCGCUUGCAGCCAGACUUGCCUGUAGUUGCUCAUCUGGGCUUUUGCCCAGUGCACUCUUCUAUAGGCAGGCCAGCAUCAGUUUAGGCGGUUGGAUAAAGGUCUCUGUCAUGUACCUCUUCUCGGGGAGGCCUUAUAGGGGAGACGACAUGCAACCAGCCUGGACUGAGGUCCGCGCAUCUGCUAGGAUGCUGGCGUAAUGGCUGUAAGCGGCCCGUCUUGAAACACGGACCAAGGAGUCUAACAUCUAUGCGAGUGUUUGGGUGUCAAGCCCGAACGCGUAAUGAAAGUGAACGGAGGUGGGAACCUUAGGGUGCACCAUCGACCGAUCCUGAUGUCUUCGGAAGGAUUUGAGUAAGAGCAUGGCUGUUGGGACCCGAAAGAUGGUGAACUAUGCUUGAAUAGGGUGAAGCCAGAGGAAACUCUGGUGGAGGCUCGCAGCGGUUCUGACGUGCAAAUCGAUCGUCAAAUUUGGGCAUAGGGGCGAAAGACUAAU